AAUGAACGCUGGCGGCGUGCCUAACACAUGCAAGUCGAACGAGAAAGUUCUUCGGAACGAGUAUAGUGGCGAACGGGUGAGUACAACAUAAGAAUCUACCAUUCAGUGAGGAAUACCCUCGAGAAAUCGAGGUUAAUACUGCAUACGUCCCUACGGGGAGAAAGGUGGCCUCUUGCUACCGCUGAAUGAUGAGCUUGUGCGCUAUUAGCUAGUUGGUGAGGUAAAGGCUCACCAAGGCUUUGAUGGCUAACCGGCCUGAGAGGGUGGUCGGUCACAUUGGGACUGAGAUACGGCCCAGACUCCUACGGGUGGCAG
This 315-nucleotide ribosomal RNA is filed under the name uncultured bacterium. RNAcentral's name for it is "bacterial SSU rRNA". It matches the Rfam family "Bacterial small subunit ribosomal RNA", at positions 29 to 351 of the family's 1533-position model. The record is from RNAcentral.